AUCCUUUUGUCGCUUAUCAGCAUGAUGGUUGGGUUGAUGCAUGUUUAUGUGGCAACUACCUCCCUUUAAGCCUCGUACGAUGUCAAUCCAUGAUCCAUCUGAUA
This is a small nucleolar RNA of Ochotona curzoniae (black-lipped pika), 104 nucleotides long. RefSeq annotates it as small nucleolar RNA U13. NCBI's taxonomy places the organism in Eukaryota, Metazoa, Chordata, Mammalia, Lagomorpha, Ochotonidae. The transcript has a single exon. The record is from RefSeq and is a predicted model, not a curated record.